RNAcentral lists this ribosomal RNA (448 nucleotides) under uncultured bacterium. RNAcentral's name for it is "bacterial SSU rRNA". It matches the Rfam family "Bacterial small subunit ribosomal RNA", at positions 329 to 793 of the family's 1533-position model. The record is from RNAcentral.
GUCCAGACUCCUACGGGAGGCAGCAGUGGGGAAUAUUGGGCAAUGGGCGCAAGCCUGACCCAGCAACGCCGCGUGAAGGAAGAAGGCUUUCGGGUUGUAAACUUCUUUUGUCAGGGAAGAAGCAAGACGGUACCUGACUAAGAAGCCCCGGCUAACUACGUGCCAGCAGCCGCGGUAAUACGUAGGGGGCGAGCGUUAUCCGGAUUCACUGGGUGUAAAGGGAGCGUAGACGGCCAUGCAAGCCAGGGGUGAAAGCCCGGGGCCCAACCGCGGGACUGCAUUUGAAACUGUCCUACUGGAGUGCAGGAGAGGUAAGUGGAAUUCCUAGUGUAGCGGUGAAAUGCGUAGAUAUUAGGAGGAACACCAGUGGCGAAGGCGGCUUACUGGACUGUAACUGACGUUGAGGCUCGAAAGCGUGGGGAGCAAACAGGAUUAGAUACCCCGGUAA